Molecule: ribosomal RNA, 793 nt
Filed under: uncultured bacterium
Lineage: Bacteria
Description: bacterial SSU rRNA
Rfam family: Bacterial small subunit ribosomal RNA
Source: RNAcentral
AGUCGAGGGGCAUCAGGAAGAAGCUUGCUUUCUUUGCUGGCGACCGGCGCACGGGUGAGUAACACGUAUCCAACCUGCCCUUUACUCGGGGAUAGCCUUUCGAAAGAAAGAUUAAUACCCGAUGGCAUAAUGAUUCCGCAUGGUUUCAUUAUUAAAGGAUUCCGGUAAAGGAUGGGGAUGCGUUCCAUUAGGUUGUUGGUGAGGUAACGGCUCACCAAGCCUUCGAUGGAUAGGGGUUCUGAGAGGAAGGUCCCCCACAUUGGAACUGAGACACGGUCCAAACUCCUACGGGAGGCAGCAGUGAGGAAUAUUGGUCAAUGGGCGCUAGCCUGAACCAGCCAAGUAGCGUGAAGGAUGAAGGCUCUAUGGGUCGUAAACUUCUUUUAUAUAAGAAUAAAGUGCAGUAUGUAUACUGUUUUGUAUGUAUUAUAUGAAUAAGGAUCGGCUAACUCCGUGCCAGCAGCCGCGGUAAUACGGAGGAUCCGAGCGUUAUCCGGAUUUAUUGGGUUUAAAGGGAGCGUAGGUGGACUGGUAAGUCAGUUGUGAAAGUUUGCGGCUCAACCGUAAAAUUGCAGUUGAUACUGUCAGUCUUGAGUACAGUAGAGGUGGGCGGAAUUCGUGGUGUAGCGGUGAAAUGCUUAGAUAUCACGAAGAACUCCGAUUGCGAAGGCAGCUCACUGGACUGCAACUGACACUGAUGCUCGAAAGUGUGGGUAUCAAACAGGAUUAGAUACCCUGGUAGUCCACACAGUAAACGAUGAAUACUCGCUGUUUGCGAUAUACAGUAAGCGGC